RNAcentral lists this ribosomal RNA (467 nucleotides) under uncultured bacterium. RNAcentral's name for it is "bacterial SSU rRNA". It matches the Rfam family "Bacterial small subunit ribosomal RNA", at positions 355 to 825 of the family's 1533-position model. The record is from RNAcentral.
UAGGGAAUAUUGGACAAUGGGUGAGAGCCUGAUCCAGCCAUGCCGCGUGCAGGAAGAAGGCGUUAUGCGUUGUAAACUGCUUUUUGCCAGGGGAUAAAAAGACCGUGCGCGGUUAAUUGAAGGUACCUGGUGAAUAAGCCACGGCUAACUACGUGCCAGCAGCCGCGGUAAUACGUAGGUGGCAAGCGUUGUCCGGAUUUAUUGGGUUUAAAGGGCGCGUAGGUGGCCCUGUAAGUCAGUGGUGAAAUAUCUCAGCUUAACUGAGAGGGUGCCAUUGAUACUGCAGGGCUUGAGUACAGAUGAGGUAGGCGGAAUUGACGGUGUAGCGGUGAAAUGCGUAGAGAUCGGGAGGAACAUCCGUGGCGAAGGCGGCUCUCUGGACCAGCACUGACGUUGAGGCACGAAAGCGUGGGGAGCAAACAGGAUUAGAUACCCAUGUAGUCCCUGAGCGGGCUGGCAAGGCGCAU